GAGGGUAUAGCUCAGUGGUUAGAGCACAUGCUUAGCGUGCACAAGGAACUAGGUUCAAUCCCCAGUACCUCCA
Molecule: transfer RNA, 73 nt
Filed under: Camelus bactrianus (Bactrian camel)
Lineage: Eukaryota; Metazoa; Chordata; Mammalia; Artiodactyla; Camelidae
Also listed under: 2 other names
Rfam family: tRNA
About the family: Transfer RNA (tRNA) molecules are approximately 80 nucleotides in length. Their secondary structure includes four short double-helical elements and three loops (D, anti-codon, and T loops).
Source: Rfam by way of RNAcentral